Molecule: ribosomal RNA, 249 nt
Filed under: uncultured bacterium
Lineage: Bacteria
Description: partial 16S ribosomal RNA
Rfam family: Bacterial small subunit ribosomal RNA
Source: RNAcentral
CGGGGUGAGUACAACAUAGGAAAUCUGCCUUAGGGUGGGGGACAACAGAGGGAAACUUCUGCUAAUACCCCAUAUGAGCUUGGUUGAAAUACCAAUCUUGAAAGUUCCGGCGCCCUAAGAUGAGCCUGUGCCUGAUUAGCUAGUUGGUGGUGUAAUGGACUACCAAGGCAACGAUCAGUAGCUGGUUUGAGAGGAUGAUCAGCCACAAUGGGACUGAGACACGGCCCAUACUCCUACGGGAGGCAGCAG